CAUAAACCAACUGCGCAAGGGAUGGCAGCGGCAUCCUUUUUUUGCUUGAACAAGUGGCAAAAAAAGAUACAGCGAACAGCCCGACCCGAC
Molecule: small RNA, 90 nt
Filed under: Pustulibacterium marinum
Lineage: Bacteria; Pseudomonadati; Bacteroidota; Flavobacteriia; Flavobacteriales; Flavobacteriaceae
Description: Flavo-1 RNA
Rfam family: Flavo-1 RNA
Source: Rfam by way of RNAcentral